RNAcentral lists this long non-coding RNA (4094 nucleotides) under Panax ginseng (ginseng). RNAcentral describes it as "long non-coding RNA (PGIN_LNC007485)". Lineage: Eukaryota; Viridiplantae; Streptophyta; Magnoliopsida; Apiales; Araliaceae. The record is from RNAcentral.
UAAAUACCAGCUACUGCUACUAUAUUACUAACUCAAUUCAUAAUAAAUUCUUGCAUAUAAUUAACUUAACUAUGAUAUAACCAAAACUAAUUGAUAUAAUGAUAACUGGUUAUUCUCAUGAAAAACACAACUUCAAAACCCAAGAUUUCAUUCAAUAGCUUUCCACUUCAAUGUAAGUUGAAUUUGAAACAAGACUAUUUCAAUUUGAUAAAGCUAAUUUGCUCAUUGUAUACAAAGGAAACUUGCUUUCCUCCAUAUAUGCCUAAAUGCAUACUUUGUAGUGACAAAUUGUAUCUGUAAUUGGUUUGACAGGUACGGACCUGACCGCCCAAAGUACUUGGGCCCAUUCUCCGAGCAAACUCCAUCAUACCUGACCGGUGAAUUCCCUGGAGACUAUGGGUGGGACACUGCUGGACUUUCAGCUGACCCAGAGACAUUUGCCAAGAACCGUGAGCUCGAAGUGAUCCACAGCAGAUGGGCCAUGCUUGGUGCACUAGGCUGUGUCUUCCCUGAAAUUCUUGCAAGGAAUGGUGUCAAAUUCGGCGAGGCAGUUUGGUUCAAGGCCGGAGCCCAAAUCUUCUCCGAAGGUGGCCUUGACUAUCUUGGCAACCCAAACCUUGUCCAUGCCCAGAGCAUCCUGGCUAUCUGGGCCAGCCAAGUUGUGCUCAUGGGAUUUGUGGAAGGAUACCGAGUUGGUGGAGGUCCACUUGGUGAAGGACUAGACAAAAUUUACCCGGGAGGUUCUUUUGACCCACUUGGAUUGGCUGAUGAUCCUGAAGCAUUUGCUGAAUUGAAGGUUAAGGAGCUUAAGAACGGACGAUUGGCAAUGUUUUCUAUGUUUGGAUUCUUUGUCCAGGCCAUUGUCACCGGAAAGGGCCCAAUUGAGAACCUCUACGACCACCUUGCUGACCCAGUAGCCAACAAUGCAUGGGCUUAUGCCACUAACUUUGUACCCGGAAAGUGAAACUAUCAAAUUCUCUUCUCUCUCGGCUGUAAUAUUAAACUUGUUUGGUGACAUCCAACUUCUGUAAUCUUUACCUGUUCCCUCAAGUAAUAUAGCAAGCAGAGAUGCUUAUCUGGGCAAUAUCUUGGAUGGAUUAUCAGCAACUUUAUCAUGGAAUUAAAAAUUACACAAACCUGCAAUGUAUCAGCACAGCCACCCACUAUUAACACACUUCUCCUCGUUCCCUAUAUUACUGGAAACCAAUUUACCACACUUGACAGCAUACAUAACAGAAAUUAGGUAAAGUCUGUUUUAAGAACAAAGUUGACAAAUUUGUAACUUGCGAUAUCAUUCCUACUGACCAAAUUAUCAAAUUUGCAACUCAGCACUACCCUGCAUAGUUAUUGCUCUGUAUUCUUAUUAUUCUGUUGCACAGCACCUUACCUGAUAAUGUUCUAGGAAUCAGUUUGGUCUCUACAAUAGUCAGGUAGUUGGUAUUGAUAUAUUUUUUUUCUCUUACAAAGAUCCCCAUCUUUCCAGAUUUGUCGUCCAAGACCCUAUAUUCACCAAUAAUCACUUUAACUUAAUCUCCCUUUUCCUAAUGAUAAAAUCAGCCAGUCACAGACCUUACUGAACAAAGUUGAAUUCCAUUAAUUCCAAUCAUCUCAUAUUCUCAUUGCAAGUUCAAUGUUCGCAUGUUUCACGUACCCAUCUAUCAAAGAGUCCAAGGAAAAUGGGUCAUUUUUAAUACAGUCAUCAAAUACCUUCUGAGCUGAAUUAAUGUCACUACACAGUCAGUUUUAACCAACAAGUUGUGCACAUAAAAAUUUCGACCACUUCUCAGUACCAACUUAUGGAUUCAGUUUCCUUCCUCGGUGGAACGCAAACAUGCACACCCGUUAAUUAUGCAAGAAAAAGUGUAGACAGAACAAAGCAAUUUGUCCACAUAGUGAGAUGGUGGUGGUUUUCAAUUUAGCAUUGAUGAUGGUGUUCCAAGAAAUGUGUGUUUUAUUUUGUUUUUGUUUAAAUGGUGAAGACUCUCGAUAUUGAUAUUGCACAGAGAGACAGAAACGGAGCCGGGAUUCGAUAUUUGGGGAGGGGGGGGGGGCAAGAAUUUUUUUUACAAAACAUAUUUUUACUAAAACAAAGAUAAUGUAGUAAUAUAAUUUUCUUUGACAAAGACAACAAAACAUAGCAAAAAAAUGUCUUUUAGAACAUAUCAAAGCUUCGUCAGAAUUGCACCCGACGUUCUUUUAAAUCACAAAAUCCAUCUAUUAUACUAAAUGGAAAAAUAUCUACUCCUAGAAUUAUUUUCACAAUAGUCAUUAGUCAAUAUUAUUAUACUAAGCAAUAUCCAGUCUGAUUAGAACAUUAAAAUUUUAGACUAUUAUAUUUUUUGUAAGACCCACUUGGUAUUCUAAUGAAUUUAGCCCAAUAGUCAUUAGCUAAUGUUUAUCUUCACAAUAGUCAUUAGCCCGCUUGGUAUUUUAUUGUCUGGCCUAAAAAAAUUUGGAAGGGGGCCAUGGCCCCCUCCAGCCCCAAUGUGGCUCCGUCCCUGGAGAGAGACUAGUGGAGGUGUGAGAGAGGUGAAAUUGAAGCCGUAAGUUUGAGCAACUGAUGAUGUUGAACUUACUACUACUGUACCAGGUGAAUGAAACUGAAAGGAGAUAUGACUAGUGCGCAUACGCUUGGACUGAUGACAAAUGACCUUUCAAACUCUUCCAGUAAUUUCUAACGCUGUUAAUCGGAGAGGGGAAAGUAAAGGUCUUGGGAAGGUAUUUUUACCUUUUCUCAUUCUUAGUCCUAGACCAGAGUGGUCCUAGUUGAACAGGAUAGACCUGAAGCCCACUACUAUCUUACAAUUACUUAGGUGGACAGUUUUUGUGGUCUACAAUCAACAUCCCAAACAGAAGAUCUUUUUAGCACCACAAUAACCUCUCCCUCUAAAACUAAGGAUCAGAAUGGAGAUCAAUGUCCAACUCACAAACCAAUGAGAUGCUGCUGAGCCAUAGAGUGAGUAUCCUAAUCCACAUAUCUUAUCAGUUCCCUAUAUUAACCUCUUCACCAUCCCAUUCACUUCCAUAAGCUUUUUCAAACCAUCUACAACACCAUCACUGGGGAAACCAUUAAACACAAAGAAGCUUUCACAGAGGCAUGGCAACCUCCACCAUCCAGCAGUCCGCAUUUGCAGGCCAGACGGCUUUGAAGUUGCAAAAUGAACUCGUCAGAAAGGUUGGCAGCCUUGGAGGUGGCCGCAUCACCAUGAGGCGUACUGUGAAAAGUGCUCCAGAAAGUAUAUGGUAAAUGCUACAAAUUUCAAUUUAUUUGGAUCAAAGAGAUUCAGUUACAAAAUUAACCAUUAGGUCAAUUUUUUGGCAACUACUUUAGGAACAUAAUAUUCCUCCUUUCAGACUUCUAAUAGUGUCAAGUGACAUCUCUAUGUUCAUAAGCUUUUAUAGCUUACGGUUAUCGUUCUCAUUGAAGUCACUUCCACAUUCUGAAACGAAAAAAUAUAAGAUGUUAUAUAUAUCUAUCUCCCUUUCAUUGUGCAUAAUAUUUGAUUCAGCCUCCUAAUAGCAAUACGAAAUCCAACUUCUGGUGAUGCUUGUCUUACUGAAAUAGUCACACCGACCUAUUCGAACAAAGUUAUACAAAUUUAUUGUAGAUGUUUACUUCUACACAAGAAUGGUCUUGGAUACAAUAAGAAGAAAAUCUGAUGUAGUAAAUAAGAAAAAGUUGGCCAUGGUUAGCAAAGAAGAACUCACGUGUACAAAACUUUGGCUCUAUCUUUGAUUCAACACAUUGUAAGCAGAAUCUGACUAACACAUCCUCUGAUAAUUUUAUCAGGUACGGACCUGACCGUCCGAAGUACUUGGGCCCAUUCUCCGAGCAAACUCCAUCAUACUUGACCGGUGAAUUCCCUGGUGACUAUGGGUGGGACACAGCUGGGCUAUCAGCUGACCCCGAGACAUUUGCCAAGAACCGUGAGCUCGAGGUGAUCCACUCCAGAUGGGCCAUGCUUGGUGCACUAGGCUGUGUCUUCCCUGAAAUUCUUGCAAAGAAUGGUGUCAAAUUCGGCGAGGCAGUUUGGUUCAAGGCCGGAGCCCAAAUCUUCUCCGAAGGUGGCCUUGAUUAUCUUGGCAACCCAAAC